RNAcentral lists this ribosomal RNA (253 nucleotides) under uncultured prokaryote. RNAcentral's name for it is "partial 16S ribosomal RNA". It matches the Rfam family "Bacterial small subunit ribosomal RNA", at positions 524 to 776 of the family's 1533-position model. The record is from RNAcentral.
UACAGAGGUCCCAAGCGUUGUUCGGAUUCACUGGGCGUAAAGGGUGCGUAGGUGGCGAGGUAAGUCGGAUGUGAAAGCUCGGAGCUCAACUCCGAAAUGGCAUUGGAAACUACCUUGCUCGAGGGUUGGAGGGGGGACUGGAAUUCUCGGUGUAGCAGUGAAAUGCGUAGAGAUCGGGAGGAACAUCUGUGGCGAAGGCGGCCACCUGGACCAACACUGACACUGAGGCACGAAAGCGUGGGGAGCAAACAGG